RNAcentral lists this ribosomal RNA (700 nucleotides) under uncultured bacterium. RNAcentral describes it as "bacterial SSU rRNA". It matches the Rfam family "Bacterial small subunit ribosomal RNA", at positions 42 to 742 of the family's 1533-position model. The record is from RNAcentral.
UCAGGCCUAACACAUGCAAGUCGAGCGAGAAAGCCUUCGGGUGAGUAUAGCGGCGGACGGGUGAGUAACGCGUGGGAAUCUGCCUGGUAGUGGGGGACAACAGUUGGAAACGACUGCUAAUACCGCAUACGCCCUACGGGGGAAAGCGGGGGAUCUUCGGACCUCGUGCUAUCAGAUGAGCCCACGUCAGAUUAGCUAGUUGGUGGGGUAAAGGCCUACCAAGGCGACGAUCUGUAGCUGGUCUGAGAGGAUGAUCAGCCACACUGGGACUGAGACACGGCCCAGACUCCUACGGGAGGCAGCAGUGGGGAAUAUUGCACAAUGGGGGAAACCCUGAUGCAGCCAUGCCGCGUGUGUGAAGAAGGCCUUCGGGUUGUAAAGCACUUUAAGCAGUGAGGAAAGGGUGUAGAUUAAUACUCUGCAUCUGUGACGUUAACUGCAGAAUAAGCACCGGCUAACUCCGUGCCAGCAGCCGCGGUAAUACGGAGGGUGCGAGCGUUAAUCGGAAUUACUGGGCGUAAAGCGCACGUAGGUGGUUUGUUAAGCGAGGUGUGAAAUCCCCGGGCUCAACCUGGGAACUGCACUUCGAACUGGCAGGCUAGAGUAUGGUAGAGGAUAGUGGAAUUUCAGGUGUAGCGGUGAAAUGCGUAGAGAUCUGAAGGAACAUCAGUGGCGAAGGCGACUGUCUGGACUAAUACUG